AGUGAACGCUGGCGGUAGGCCUAACACAUGCAAGUCGAACGGAAGCACAGUAAGCGUUCGCCUUUAAGGGUGGCGACUGGCGGAUGGGUGAGGCAUACAUCGGAUUCUACUUUUUCGUGGGGGAUAUCGUAGGGCAACAUCUGAUAACAGCGCAUAUGAUCUACGGCUGAAAGCAGGAGAUCAUCGCACUUUGCGUGUCUCAUUGAGCCGAUGCCGGAUUAGCUAGUUGGCGGGGUAAAGGCCCACCAAGGCGACGAUCCGUAGCUGGUCUGAGAGGAUGAUCGGCCACACUGGAACUGAGACACGGCCCAGACUCCUACGGGAGGCAGCAGUAGGGAAUAUUGGACAAUGGGCGCAAGCCUGAUCCAGCCAUGCCGCGUGAGUGAAGAAGGCCUUCGGGUUGUAAAGCCCUUUUGUUGGGAAAGAAAAGCAGCAGAUUAAUACCCCGCUGUUCUGACGGUACCCAAAGAAUAAGCACCGGCUAACUUCGUG
This 492-nucleotide ribosomal RNA is filed under the name uncultured bacterium. RNAcentral describes it as "partial 16S ribosomal RNA". It matches the Rfam family "Bacterial small subunit ribosomal RNA", at positions 29 to 507 of the family's 1533-position model. The record is from RNAcentral.